GUUGUUUUGUAAACCGCUUAGAAUAUUUCUUGUUAGAUAUUGCCCUUCAUAGAUAUUGUAUAAUACUUAAUUUUUUCAGUUAAAGUAAAGGAAGUAGUUGGGUCAGAAUUGGGCAUUUUUGUCAGAAAUUCCUACUUCUAGGGUUUUCUCUAUGAUACAGGGGGGAAAUGCCCUAUAUAACAAUUUAUGUCUUUACUUAGAAUUCUUCAAUAGCUCAUAAAAAGGUCAUUGUUAUAGUCUAAGCAGAUUCUACAUUCAUUUUCUGAUGAUUUGAGACCCAAAUUAUUUCAAUGCAAAUUUAA
Molecule: long non-coding RNA, 302 nt
Filed under: Mytilus galloprovincialis (Mediterranean mussel)
Lineage: Eukaryota; Metazoa; Mollusca; Bivalvia; Mytilida; Mytilidae
Source: RNAcentral